Long non-coding RNA from Alligator sinensis (Chinese alligator), 799 nucleotides. RefSeq lists it as uncharacterized. The transcript has 6 exons. Lineage: Eukaryota; Metazoa; Chordata; Crocodylia; Alligatoridae. The record is from RefSeq and is a predicted model, not a curated record.
GCUAAGGAUAAGCAGCAUGGUGGAAGUUGUCUCUCUCCCAAGGCCUGAAGAAAGAUGAUCUAUUCAUUAUUGUAAAUUAUUCUUCAAAGGAAUGAUUUGAGUACUUCUUCAUCUUCAGGUCAAUGUGCCUUUCCAUGGAGUUCUACGGGGAGAAGCCUGGACAGUGGAACAAGUCAGGCAUCACACUACGUCUCUAAGAACAUACAGUUGAGACCCAUUUCAUCAUUGCAACUGACCUAGGCUAAUCCAGACACAGAGCAACUGAUGGAAAAGAACCUGAAAUGUCAACCAAGAAGAGAGCAGGAGAUAAAAGGAGGCUGCUACCAAGGAAUCCAUUAAGUCCAACAUCCAGAUGUGGGGGAGAGGCUGCAGGGCUAUUCUGGAAUAGUGCAGCAGGGUCACUGCUACUCACCACUGGAGCUGCCCGGACAUGCCGGCUGUGCCACCAGCACACCAGGGACUGGAUCUUCUUACUCCAGCAGCUGGUGGCAGCAGUUGAGAGCUGGGUGGCAUGGGAGCAGGUGCAGUAGCAGGAUUCUUUCCUCACCAUCAUCAUACAUCUAGGGGAUGAGCCUGAGAGAUGCUGAGUCCUCUUAAUGCCCAGCAGCUGCCUUGGACACAACACAUGAAGAUAUCAGUGUAAGUCAGGACUGGUCUCAUAUGAAGUAUGAUUUGUACAGGGUACAUCUUCAGUGCAUCUCUGAAUGCAGCUGGCAACAUAGCCAAAUGAUUAAAGUGGAUCUUGAUUUUGAAUGAAAUGAAGUGUAGUUAUGGUACUUUUAGCAGAAAAAUAAAAUAU